GCGCGUAGCCGUUUUUCCGGGGAAAUCCGCGAACCGCUCGCCCUGCACUCCGUCGCCGAUACGUUAUAACCGCGCGCGCUUAUCGCGGUCACAUACUCGACUACACACGGCUACGGCGGAGUUUGACCCCAACCGUGCGCGCGGUAAUCUGACCGUUACGGCCCCUUUGAUACGAUACCGGUACGCGCGGUUACGGGCUCGCGCCCGCGUCCCCCUUUGUCCGCGGCGGCGACCCGAUCGUUAUAAAAAUAAACGCGCGCGCUCGCCCGCUCGUAAACUGCAGAAUGACAACAGUAAUAUAUUAUACGGGAUGUC
Non-coding RNA from Cinara cedri, 315 nucleotides. The record is from the annotation of a GenBank genome assembly. Lineage: Eukaryota; Metazoa; Arthropoda; Insecta; Hemiptera; Aphididae.